This 390-nucleotide ribosomal RNA is filed under the name uncultured bacterium. Its description in RNAcentral is "bacterial SSU rRNA". It matches the Rfam family "Bacterial small subunit ribosomal RNA", at positions 28 to 414 of the family's 1533-position model. The record is from RNAcentral.
GACGAACGCUGGCGGCGUGCUUAACACAUGCAAGUGGAGCGACGAACCAGGCUUCGGCCUGGGGCAGAGCCGCGAACGGGUGAGUAACACGUGGGUGACCUGCCCCGAUGACCGGGACAACCCGAGGAAACUCGGGCUAAUACCGGAUGCGUCCACCUCGCGACAGCGGGGCGGGCAAAGGUAGCUUCGGCCUCCGCAUCGGGAUGGGCCCGNGGCCCAUUAGCUUGUUGGUGAGGUAACGGCUCACCAAGGCGACGAUGGGUAGCUGGUCUGAGAGGACGAUCAGCCACACUGGGACUGAGACACGGCCAGACUCCUACGGGAGCAGCAGUGGGGAAUCUUGCGCAAUGCGCGAAAGCGUGACGCAGCAACGCCGCGUGGGGAAGACGG